MicroRNA precursor from Gossypium arboreum, 145 nucleotides. It matches the Rfam family "MIR7502 microRNA precursor family". Lineage: Eukaryota; Viridiplantae; Streptophyta; Magnoliopsida; Malvales; Malvaceae. The record is from Rfam.
GUUUAAAGAUUUUAUUUAUUUAUAUUAUUAAAAAUUAUUGUACCUAACGAAAUAACCAGACAGUAACACAUGGCGUGUCUUAUGUAUGUCAUGUUAACGUACAUAGAUCAAUUUUUAACAGUAGAAAUAAAUGAAAUUUUUAAGA